GGCGCGAGGAUCCUGGCGGAGGUGCUCUGGAGAGGACCCUGCAAGAGAUAAGCUGUUCGCUGCCCACAAGGAUUGGAAGUUGCCUUUGGCAGGAAUAGAGCGGGAUGUAGAAUCUAUAGCCAGCAUCCACAGCGCUGCUCUGUCAGAUUCUCUCCCUCUGGUCUUCACUUCUCCAGCGGAGGCUGCAUCCCAUCUGUUUUGCUCAAAUAGCCUUGUGAACUGACCCUGGGUUGCGUUGAGUUUGAUUGCGAAUGAUGUGUGAGCUCCUGAUCAAACAGAUGUUCAAGUCCUCCAGGACCCUCUGGCAGCUGCAUCAUCCAGCAUCUCCUUACACCUGCUGCAGCAAGAUGUCUCAGUGCACCUCUGCCCUUGGAGCCACGGCCAGGACCCACCCGUUGCAGAGAUAGGAGGCAGUUGGUUUAAACAUAUCAUUUUUUAAAUUUAUUUACUUUUAUA
Long non-coding RNA from Sus scrofa (pig), 456 nucleotides. RefSeq lists it as uncharacterized. The record is from RefSeq and is a predicted model, not a curated record. Lineage: Eukaryota; Metazoa; Chordata; Mammalia; Artiodactyla; Suidae.